AGAGUUUGAUCAUGGCUCAGGAUGAACGCUGGCGGCGUGCCUAACACAUGCAAGUCGAGCGAUCUUCUUCGGAAGAGAGCGGCGGACGGGUGAGUAACGCGUGGGUAACCUACCUCAUACACAUGGAUAACAUACCGAAAGGUAUGCUAAUACAAGAUGAUAUAAGAGAUUCGCAUGGAUUUCUUAUCAAAGCUCCGGCGGUAUGAGAUGGACCCGCGUCUGAUUAGCUAGUUGGUAAGGUAACGGCUUACCAAGGCGACGAUCAGUAGCCGACCUGAGAGGGUGAUCGGCCACAUUGGAACUGAGACACGGUCCAAACUCCUACGGGAGGCAGCAGUGGGGAAUAUUGCACAAUGGGCGAAAGCCUGAUGCAGCAACGCCGCGUGAGCGAUGAAGGCCUUCGGGUCGUAAAGCUCUGUCCUCAAGGAAGAUAAUGACGGUACUUGAGGAGGAAGCCCCGGCUAACUACGUGCCAGCAGCCGCGGUAAUACGUAGGGGGCUAGCGUUAUCCGGAUUUACUGGGCGUAAAGGGUGCGUAGGUGGUUUCUUAAGUCAGGAGUGAAAGGCUACGGCUCAACUGUAGUAAGCUCUUGAAACUGGGAAACUUGAGUGCAGGAGAGGAAAGUGGAGUUCCUAGUGUAGCGGUGAAAUGCGUAGAUAUUAGGAGGAACACCAGUAGCGAAGGCGGCUUUCUGGACUGUAACUGACACUGAGGCACGAAAGCGUGGGGAGCAAACAGGAUUAGAUACCCUGGUAGUCCACGCCGUAAACGAUGAGUACUAGGUGUCGGGGGUUACCCCCCUCGGUGCCGCAGC
Molecule: ribosomal RNA, 815 nt
Filed under: uncultured bacterium
Lineage: Bacteria
Description: bacterial SSU rRNA
Rfam family: Bacterial small subunit ribosomal RNA
Source: RNAcentral